RNAcentral lists this ribosomal RNA (460 nucleotides) under uncultured bacterium. RNAcentral's name for it is "partial 16S ribosomal RNA". It matches the Rfam family "Bacterial small subunit ribosomal RNA", at positions 338 to 795 of the family's 1533-position model. The record is from RNAcentral.
CCUACGGGAGGCAGCAGUGAGGAAUAUUGGUCAAUGGCCGGAAGGCUGAACCAGCCAUGUCGCGUGCAGGUCAGUGCCCUAUGGGCGUUAAACUUCUUUUGUGCGGGAGCAAUAAUGGUCACGUGUGGCCAGACGAGAGUACCGUACGAAUAAGCAUCGGUUAACUCCGUGCCAGCAGCCGCGGUAAUACGGGGGAUGCAAGCGUUAUCCGGAUUUAUUGGGUUUAAAGGGUGCGUAGGCUGUGAGGUAAGUCAGCGGGGAAAUGCCCCCGCUCAACGGGGUGAAGUGCCAUUGAUACUGCCUUGCUGGAAUGCGGAUGCGGUGGGAGGAAUGUGUGGUGUAGCGGUGAAAUGCAUAGAGAUCACACAGAACACCGAUUGCGAAGGCAUCUCACGAAUCCGCGAUUGACGCUGAUGCACGAAAGCGUGGGUAUCAAACAGGAUUAGAUACCCGUGUAGUC